This 1093-nucleotide long non-coding RNA is filed under the name Bos indicus x Bos taurus (hybrid cattle). Its description in RNAcentral is "lncRNA (ENSBIXG00000016600.1)". Lineage: Eukaryota; Metazoa; Chordata; Mammalia; Artiodactyla; Bovidae. The record is from RNAcentral.
CUUUAAGCUGCCCUCGGCCUCUGGGUGUCCUUUCGCCCCUCCCCUCCACCCAAGCCAGCUUACAAGAGGGAAAGAGGGAAAAUCAAAGGAGGCGCCAGGUACUUCCCAGGGGGCGCUAGUGGUAAGGAAUUCGCCUGCCAAUGCAGGAGACUCAACAUACACAGGUUGGAUCCAUGGGUCAGGAAGGUCCCCUGGAAGAGGGCAUGGCAAACCCACUCAAGGAUUCUUGCCUGGAGAAUCCCAUGGACAGAGGAGCCUGAUGGGCUACAGUCCAUCGGGUCACAAAGAGUCGGACACGACUGAACUCACUUAGCACGCAGCACAAGGUACCAGGGCAGCUGGAAUGAAGGGUUUCCUCUAAUGGUGGUGGGCACGGUGGGAGGGAGGGAGGGAGUCAGGUUCAAAGGGCAAGACCCUAGUGAAUUAACAAGAUAUAGUCCACCCCCACCCUCCCUCCCCCUCCUCCUCCUCAACUGAGGCCUCACCUUCCUCUUCUCUCCCUGGAGCUCAGGAAGCUCAAGCCGUCCUUCACCUUCGCACUUACUGUUCUGCUGCCUGGAAGGCGCUUCUGGACAUUUAACGUAGUUGCUCCAGCUUGCCAUUUCAUCUCGCCUCCAAAAUAUCACCUCCACGGUGAGGCCUCCCGGGGACAGACAAUUUAAAGAAAUUCCCCGCUUCUAGCCCUGCACGCCUAUUUUCUUUCCUCCUUGAAUUACCCACGGAGGAAAUUAUGCCGUUCCCGUGUGUUUCGCCGUUAUUGUUUUCUACCUUUCGAGAAGGCAAGCUCUCUGAGCACAAGGACCUCACGUGGGUUUAGUCACUGAAUGAAUGAGCAGAAACUCAGAGAGGGAAGGACCUGCCAAGAGCACAAGUUAGGAGCGAAACCGAUUCCCCGUGUCCUAUUUCUUCGCCCUCUGCUCUCGCUAGCUGGCGGAGGUGCCAUUCAAGGGCCAGGGGCGUGAGGGCGGAACGAACCACGAAUGCAGAGCCACGAGCAUCGCUGCCCCCGAGCGGGUGGGUCCCCGGUGCGCUCCGCCUUGGCCACCCCAGCAACUUGGAUUUUACUUCCCAAGCCAAGAAGCAGGGUUGGGAG